Molecule: ribosomal RNA, 301 nt
Filed under: uncultured bacterium
Lineage: Bacteria
Description: partial 16S ribosomal RNA
Rfam family: Bacterial small subunit ribosomal RNA
Source: RNAcentral
CAGUCGCCGCGGGAACACGGAGGGGGCUAGCGUUGUUCGGAAUUACUGGGCGUAAAGCGCACGUAGGCGGCUUUGUAAGUUAGAGGUGAAAGCCCAGGGCUUAACCCUGGAACUGCCUUUAAGACUGCAGAGCUUGAAUCGCGGAGAGGUGAGUGGAAUUCCGAGUGUAGAGGUGAAAUUCGUAGAUAUUCGGAAGAACACCAGUGGCGAAGGCGGCUCACUGGACGCGUAUUGACGCUGAGGUGCGAAAGCGUGGGGAGCAAACAGGAUUAGAUACCCCAGUAGUCCCUGUCUCUUAUAC